GCGGUUGAUGAUCAAUAUCCUCGGCGCCCAACAGUGAGGUCCUUAUUUACUCUCGCUCUGCCUGCAAAGGUGGCGGUCGCUUCACGGCGAUUGUAUAGAGAGUGGCGAUGAUCUGUACCCCGAUUUCCAGAGGUCUGCCUUCGGGCGCUUUGGCGGGGUGGGUGUCGAUGGAAGUCUGACGC
RNAcentral lists this small nucleolar RNA (182 nucleotides) under Neurospora crassa. Its description in RNAcentral is "Fungal small nucleolar RNA U3". It matches the Rfam family "Fungal small nucleolar RNA U3", at positions 77 to 272 of the family's 274-position model. From Rfam's summary of the family: Small nucleolar RNAs (snoRNAs) are involved in the processing and modification of rRNA in the nucleolus. There are two main classes of snoRNAs: the box C/D class, and the box H/ACA class. U3 snoRNA is a member of the box C/D class. Lineage: Eukaryota; Fungi; Ascomycota; Sordariomycetes; Sordariales; Sordariaceae. The record is from Rfam by way of RNAcentral.